UGAUCAUUGUAUUCCCAUUUCCGUCUUUCUUCAUCUCUGUCUCUCUACCCUCUCCAUCUUUCGCCUCUCCCUACUGAGCUAGCAUCCAGCAACACCAAGGAAGGUAGCCGGCGACGCAAUGGUGAACCAAGAUUCUACCUCUUCCCCACUUGGCGGUAACAAGUGCAUGGCAACGAUGGAGGAUCCCGGCAGCCUCAAGCAGGGCAUUUAGAUGAGCUUUCUCCGAUCGGUAGCUCUAUUCUCCCCGGCAGCACCUUUUCUCCCUCAGCGGAGGUGAGCUAGGCGAAGAGUGGCAGCAGCGGCAGCGACGGGAUCGUGACCGGCGGAAUUCCACGACAGCAGCUGUGAGCUUGAGCGGCGAAGAACGUGUGAGGUUUCGGCAAUCUCUGAUUCGGUUUUCCGACGAGCAGCGGCAGCUCCUCCGGUAAGACCGACGAUACGCGAUGGCUUCUCUAUUUCCGGUAAAGCUGAGCGACGACGGAGCCUUCCCUGUUUCGUGAAGUGAGAAGCGGCCAGCAGCCAGCAGCACUCCGGCGUCCUCUCGUUAGCGGAUCAGCGACGGUGAAGGUGGCGGAGCGUCCUUCCCAGUCCGACGUAAGCAGAGCAACGACGCCAUCUCUCCCUCGUUCGGCGUCCAGCAAGAAGAAUGGCAGCUCGCGUAGGAUGGCAUCGGCGUGUCUUUCCCAACGGCGUGCACGAAUGCAUGGCGGGUAUCGACGGUAGCAUCUGGACCUUGGUUCUCAAUUUCUAGCGUCGCAGUAGAGGAAUGAAGUGGAUUAGCGCCUAAUGUCUUCCUAAUGAGGUUCAUGAUUAUGGACCUAGCUUAUGAGCUGAGCUUAGAGUUGGUGUUUGCUCUUGGAUUAAUACGCUACAAGAGGUAUGGAAUAAGUCUAAGCGAGAGCGUGUUAGAGCUUACCGAUAUGAGGCUGCUUAGACUUAGCUUACGUUGUUUAGACUUUGUGUUUUGGGCCUGUGUGCUGAUGUUGAGAUUAUAUACUCUUGAUUAGAUUCUUGUUAUGAUGACAAUGUUUUUAGGAUUCAUACUUUAUGCAGUUCAGUUUUUGGAUAGCCUGUGCAUCUAGGCCGUGUUUUCUUACUUAGAUGUGGCAUGAUACCCCUUAGAUUAUAAAUCGCUUCCGCUAUGUUGUGUUUGAUAGUUGAGAUAGGCAGCUUUUGUGUUAAAGUUUUAGCUAUCUCAGCUUGUGAAAGGUUGGGGUGUCACACCUAUGUCUGACUAUAACCCGGAUAUGAAAGAAAGUGACCUCAUUCAUCCUGUAUCAUCUUAUUGGAAUCUAGAGUUUCUGAAUACUAUGUUUUUACCGCGUGAUGUGGGUCUGAUCAUUAAAAUUCAUGUUAAUGUCUAGUAUGAUGACAAAUGGUGUUGGAGGGGUGAUAUAAGGGUGUUGUACUCUGUCAAAAAUGGGUAUCGAUCUUUGUCUGCUUUGCUUGUCAGUACUGGCAAUGCUUCUUGGAGUUCAAUUUGGAGUUUAUUGCAUGCGUAAGGUUCUUCCAGUUCUGAUAGCGCUGUUUGGCCGUCGAGUGGUAAUGGACGUAACUUGCUCUCUUUGUCGUGACCAUGCAGAAACACUUGACCAUUUGAUGAAGUAUUGCGCAUGUGUCGCACCUCUCUGGCAGAUAAUAAUGAAUGGUCACAUCCCGGAUUUUGGGGACAAUUGUGCAGCUUGGCUCUUCGACGCUUUAUCACAUGUUAACAAAUAUUGUGCAGGUCUAUCGCAGCUUGGAAGCUUGGCAGGGUUUGGAAAAUGGAACGCCGGUUUCGGGUGCAGUUAUGCAUGCUGUGCAGACUGGUGCUACUGAACAUGAUGGUGAUAUUAGGGUCUUUGUGGAUGCAGCAGUAUACUCAAAUGUUAACCAUGCUUAUUUCGGUUUUGUGAUUUUGAUUUCAAUCGGUAAUUACUAGGCUGCCCGGAAUGGUCCUCUACGCUGCAUGAAUGAUGUCUAUCUAGCUGAAGCGUUGGCGGUCAAAGAAGCACUCUCAUGGGUUAAAGAUCAAGGCUAUACCUUUGUUCGUCUGUAGACUCUAAAAUCCUGAACUCUUUUCCCGCCGACCAAUUUCUAAAAAUUUGGUUCAGUUGAACCAAGCUUUAUUCUGAUUGUUAGACUAUGUGUCAUUUGCUAAAUGGCUCAGGGAUUGAUUGGUCUUAUGUUGGUUGUGCUAUAGGUGCAUGUAAUGGGUUAUAUUGACACUUUUAAUUAGUGCCUUUUGAGUUUGUUCCUAGAUCAGUGAAUAAGUGUGCUCAUGCUUUAGCUAGAGCGGCUAGUUCGCAAAUUGGUCCUACUUGUUGGAUUUCAUCUAUUCCCACUUGUAUUGAACAUUUACUUUAAUGAAAGUUUGUUGCUUUGUUUUAAAAAAA
Molecule: long non-coding RNA, 2375 nt
Organism: Ipomoea triloba (trilobed morning glory)
Lineage: Eukaryota; Viridiplantae; Streptophyta; Magnoliopsida; Solanales; Convolvulaceae
Exons: 4
Source: RefSeq, a predicted model, not a curated record